Molecule: ribosomal RNA, 321 nt
Filed under: uncultured eukaryote
Lineage: Eukaryota
Description: partial 18S ribosomal RNA
Rfam family: Eukaryotic small subunit ribosomal RNA
Source: RNAcentral
CCCUUAGAUGUCCUGGGCCGCACGCGCGCUACACUGACAUGUUCAACAAGCCUCCUAGUUCGACAGGAUUUGGGAAAUCUUUGAACGCAUGUCGUGAUAGGGAUAGAUCAUUGCAAUUAUUGAUCUUGAACGAGGAAUUCCUAGUAAACGCGAGUCAUCAGCUCGCAUUGAUUACGUCCCUGCCCUUUGUACACACCGCCCGUCGCACCUACCGAUUGAAUGUUUCGGUUAAGAUUCCGGAUAGGACUUUUUUGAUUUAUUUCAAUUUUGUCUUAAAAGCUAUCUAAACCUCAACAUUUAGAGGAAGGUGAAGUCGUAACA